UACAGAGGAUGCAAGCGUUAUCCGGAAUGAUUGGGCGUAAAGCGUCUGUAGGUGGCUUUUUAAGUCCGCCGUCAAAUCCCAGGGCUCAACUCUGGACAGGCGGUGGAAACUAGCAAGCUGGAGUACGGUAGGGGCGGAGGGAAUUUCCGGUGGAGCGGUGAAAUGCGUAGAGAUCGGAAAGAACACCAACGGCGAAAGCGCUCUGCUGGGCCGACACUGACACUGAGAGACGAAAGCGAGGGGAGCGAAUGGG
This 253-nucleotide ribosomal RNA is filed under the name uncultured bacterium. Its description in RNAcentral is "partial 16S ribosomal RNA". It matches the Rfam family "Bacterial small subunit ribosomal RNA", at positions 524 to 776 of the family's 1533-position model. The record is from RNAcentral.